RNAcentral lists this long non-coding RNA (843 nucleotides) under Rattus norvegicus (Norway rat). RNAcentral's name for it is "long non-coding RNA NONRATT031112". The record is from RNAcentral. Lineage: Eukaryota; Metazoa; Chordata; Mammalia; Rodentia; Muridae.
AGGUUCUUUUUACAGAGGAAGAUGUGAAAUUCUACCUUGCGGAAUUGGCCCUAGCUUUGGAUCAUCUGCAUCGAUUAGGAAUUGUGUAUAGAGACCUGAAGCCAGAGAACAUCUUGCUUGACGAAAUAGGACAUAUCAAGUUAACAGAUUUUGGGCUGAGCAAAGAGUCAGUGGAUCAAGAAAAGAAAGCCUACUCCUUCUGUGGUACUGUAUGUAAUUACCAAGACAGUUGAAUACCUUCAUUCUCAAGGAGUCGUUCAUCGUGAUCUUAAGCCCAGUAAUAUUUUGUACAUGGAUGAAUCAGGCCAUCCAGAUUCAAUCAAGAUCUGUGACUUUGGAUUUGCAAAACAGCUUCGAGGAGAAAAUGGACUUCUGUUAACUCCAUGCUACACUGCAAACUUUGUAGCCCCUGAGGAAAUACUUCUGCGCAUAGGCAAUGGGAGGUUCUCUUUGAGUGGUGGAAUCUGGGAUAAUAUUUCACGUGGAGCAAAGGAUUUGCUUUCUCAUAUGCUUCACAUGGACCCACAUCAGCGUUAUACUGCUGAACAAGUAUUAAAGCACCCUUGGAUAACCCAAAGAGAACAACUGCCGCGUCAUCAGCCAACCUCAGAUGACCCGCCACAGGAAGCAGUGGCUGCAGCAUAUUCUGUUUUGGCUCGGAACCAGAACAGGCAUCCAAUCCUGGAGCCUGUUGCUGCUUCACGUUUAGCUCAGAGACGUAACAUGAAAAAGCGAACAUCAACUGGCUUAUGAGUUCUAGUGUUCCUCAGCUAACUGGAUGAAGAGAAAAUUAAAUGUGUUGUGGGUUGGCUUUUUUGUUGUUGUUGUUGUUUUGUUUUGUUU